UGUUAACCUGCUGCCCCGAUCCCUCCCUGGCGCACACUGGUGGCACACAAGGGUGCACCCCGACUCUGUGUCCCGGGAAGGGGUUACUGCUGCGAGCCCGGCCGGGGAGAGGUGACCGAACGAGGACCUGGCUCCCAACUCCUGCUCUCCGGCCGUCGCAGCAUGGAAAGGGGAUGCUGGAGGGGAGCACACGUUGGGAACAGCGGUGCUUGGGGGCUGUGCCAGCCCUUUGCGCUGCCUGCUCUCAGCGAGGCAGAAAAUUGGUUGUAAAGGGGAACUCGCACACACCUGUUUGCAGCUGAAGCUGGAGGAGCUUAUGUUAGAGGUCACCUGGACUCCACUGCUGUCAAAUAUUGGCUGCGAGAUGGGUUUUCUGAAUGCCAUGUUUUACUUGGUGACACAUCCAGAACCUCUGGGAAGAGCUUUUUCAAAUAAGCUUAUCCUCAAGCUUUUUGCAGUUCUCUUUUUUUCCCCUUUUUUUUUCCUUCUUCCUUCUUAUAAAGAGAAUUAGGCAAUCACAGCAUUUUGAUGAAGUUGCGUCUUAGCCUCUUGCUUCAUAGCACGUGGCCUUCCUGAAGAAUCAAGGAAAAGCUGAUAAAUUGGGUGUAGGAGACUUCCCUGUCUUUCCUUUCCCCAUCUAACGUUCCUCCCUGUGCUGCCCUCGGAGCGUGUCCUGCUCCUAGUUGCUCUCUUAACUUGUCCCUACUUAUAACAUUCUGUACAUAAAACACAACCGGGUGCUUUUCACUCUGAUUAAAAUCAUGCUCUGUAAAAGAAAAUCCAAAUUAGCUCUGGCCUUUGGGCUCCUGACAAGUUUCCAGCGCUGCUUUCAGCACCGCAGAGAUUGCGUAACUCCACAUCUUCUGUGCAGUGACGUCUCCCCCUCGUCAUGAGCUGGGCUGGCUGCCGCACAUGCAGGUUCAGCUAUUAAUACUUCAAGCAGCUUUUAGCACUGAAGGAGGAAGAGAGAUUGCCAGCAGCUGGGUGGCAUGCAGCAACUUGUUUUUUCUUGCUAGGGGACAAUGAUGUGGGAAGGGGUAAAAGGAGGAGGAUUUCCUGGGUAAUUCCCCAAGUUUUGAUGUUUGUGCAAAUACCUCCUGGUCUAAUGUGUGCUGAGUGACUGGGGAGCCCAGUGCAGGGAGAGCUAAUGCUUCAGUACAGGUUAACCCUUGAAGGAAGAGUACAGUAGCAUCUUAUACAAACUAUGGCUUGAGUUUGCCAGAUCUUGUAUGCAAUGAAGCACAGGGCGCUUUCCUGCCUCCUCCAGGGAUUCAAGCCAGGUACGCUGUUACACCAUUUCAGCAUUGCUCACAGAAGUGCUGAGCCUGCAGCUAUCGUGUCGGGUUUUCGGCAGAAACCUUUGCGUCUCGGCAACUUCCUCCAAGGAUGCUGAACCAAACGCCGUCCAGACUUGCGAGUGAACGAGUUGCAAAUGACAUCACUGAUUCGAAACGGCGCGUAGGCACGACGUGGGCGAAUGUUCCCUGCGCUGGGUGUUUUCUAAAGCAGAUGCAAAGAUCAUAUUGCCAAUUCUGGGUAUACUUUGGGCAGUUUCAUGCAGAGAACUGGAAUGCUUUUUUGGUCCGGAGCUUUGCUUUUUGGCAGCCUUAAGCCUCUUGAUGUGAAAAUAAUCGGGAUUGCUCGUGGGCCAUCUCUUUGUCAGCUGAGUAUCAUCUCCACUAUUUUUUUAACCAGCCAUGCCCUGCCGGGUGAAAGCCACUGUCUUCUGACUGAUGGGUGUAAGUUCUCGCCCUGCUCCCAAGAGACAAGUAGGCAUAUUUGUGUGUACAUGUAUGUGGUUUGGCCAGUACCCAGAAGUGACAAAAGUCCCAGAAAAUUUCCCUUUCUCCCUUCUGGCAACCUCCCUGCCCUGCUCCCCCUUCUUUUUCCUCCCUGUAUGCCACCUACAGCAUCUGGCAUGUGCUUUGGGAGAUGCAUGAAGCCAGCCAUGGACUGUGGAUGCUUUUAUUGUGCAGCAAUGUGUGCUCUCUUCUCCCAUCCCCUCUUGUCUGCUGCAGAGCAGAGUGCUGGUAGUCAUGUCCUUGAUAAGAAUAGGUUGCUUGCUAAGACCCUUACGUGUAAUCAUAGCCCAGCAUCCUAGAGCCACUGAUAAACUAUUUUUCCCUGCUGAUACCAGCCCUUAGCCCACCAUGAACCUUGCUGAAGGUAUGGGAAUGGCUAGACAAUACUAGACUUGUGGGUGAAGGAUGUUGUGCAGCAAAGGUUAUCUUUUGGGAGAUCAGAAGAUGAUGUGCCUAUAGAUGUAUUCUGUAGAGGGUGCAGGGUGAAAUGAAUUCCAUAGACCCUGUUUUUUUGAUCUCUAACAGUAACUUUAACCACAGAAAAAUUCCCACACUCAGCCCCUAGCAAUGGCCUUGGCUAACGUGACCUCUACUUAGCACCGUGACCCAAACCCCACUACAAUCCUGACUAUACUGGCCCGUACAACAGUGAGCCAUACCUGACCGAUAGCUAAUUGUAAGCCAUACGCACAAGCAUGUAUUGUAGUGCUAGGGGACCAUAUCAUCUUCCUACCAUUCUAGCUCUUCAGUUCUAAGCCCUACGUCCUAUUCCUGACAUUUUCUCUAGCCUCCACUGCCCACCCAUGGCAAUAAUUCACCCCAAACUUUAGGUUGAGUGCAUCCAUCGUCCCUCCAGACCUAAUGACAAGCUGCUUCAUUUGGUUAGCUCUAGUGCCUUUGCAGCCCUAUCCCCAAAUGACAAGAACUGGAUGCCAGUCCUUAUCAUAUCUCUGAAAUCCUCACAUUAUUCUUGAAUAAUCCCCAACUUCUCAGCCUUUUCUACCCCAAAGCCUGAUUCCAGCUUUAACCAUAAACUGUCAGCCAGCACUGCUCCAAACAUAACCCGAAGCCUUCCGCCUCGCUGGGUACCAGCACUCAGGCUUGCCCAGAGGGGCAAAGAAAGAGGUGAUGCUCUUUAGUCCUUGGUGUCCCAAUCUCUAACCCUGACUUUAGUGUCUACAGACCUGAUGGUCUUUACGUACUGGCCCAUAAUUCUGAGUGCCAGAGCCAUUCACCCCAGCUAGCCCCAGCCCUCAUGGCUGUGUUUCUAAGGUCUUUGCUGGAGUCUGGGCACGGGGCUGGGGAUGGCCAGUGGGGCUUGCUCAGGGCACCUUUUGGUGGAGUAUAAGGUGGAAAGAUUUUGGGGGGGGGGCAUGGCUUGAGGGAUCAACUGGUUUGCUCCAGCUGCUGAGCGGAUGGUAGGCUGGCUGCAACCUAGACCGUGGGGCAAGGGGGAGCGUGAGAGUGUCGUACAUCAGUGAGAGAGCACGGAGGCACACUGUCACAGAGAAGCAGCAGUGGGUCAGCGAUGAUUAGAAAAGCCUGAGAAUGGCUGAUGUGUCCCAGUGACCUUGCUGCUUUCUUAAAACAAGCCUCAUUGCUGCUGCCUGCUUACUUCUCACUGCCCUUCUACUGGUUCUUCGUCACCAUCCCCACCCCUUGUCCUCCUGCCUCUGGAUCUCCAGAGCUACUUGCUCCUCUAGAGCUGGUUCCGCAGCCCUCCCCAGCCCUGCGGCACCGCUGCCUCGCCUGCUUCUGGCAGUCAGAUCUCCUCCAGGGGCCAAGCAUAUGAACCUGACGUUGCUUAUUACGAGGCGCUCUGCCACCCAUAUUUCACGCUGGCAUGUCUUGCUGGUUGGGAGCCAAGGACAGAGAGGGCUAUGGCCCCAGGUCUCUUAAGGUGUCAGAUGUGUUACUGUGAAUCAUGAGCUUGCUUGUGAAGAUUUUUGGGGAUUGGGCUCUAAACUGGCUUCAUUUAUUUGUUUAUGUUCAAGGUCCAUAUUGCAAUUUUUGUUUCUAAACUGCAUUUAAUAAGACUGUCAUAUAAAAGCUCUCCAAGUUUCUGGGAAGAACACUUAUUAAAAGUGGUUUUGUAAUUCUUACAGUGUGUGGUCUUUGGCUAUUCUGAACUUUUGCUGUGUUACAUUCAAGUAUAGUUUAGUGUAGUUGGAAAGAAAGCUUGGAAAGAGAAAAGCUGACAAAGAGCAGAUCAGACUGAGAGGGAGAUGGAUCUGGUUUAUGCUUCUAUUUUUUGCAGCAGAUGGAGUCGGUAUUCCCCACCUGCUUAAGGAGUGCCCACAGCUGACUGACUCACUAACACACCUUGUUCUGAGAGAAAUCACAACAGCAAAAGGAUGAUGUUUGUGGCAGUAGAGAAAGUGUUUAUUAAAUGGCAAGCUUUGCUUUGCAUGCUUAAGGUUGCAACUUCUUUCUUU
This is an RNA transcript of Aquila chrysaetos chrysaetos, 4237 nucleotides long. RefSeq lists it as uncharacterized. NCBI's taxonomy places the organism in Eukaryota, Metazoa, Chordata, Aves, Accipitriformes, Accipitridae. The transcript has 3 exons. The record is from RefSeq and is a predicted model, not a curated record.